UUGUGGAAAAUAAAUCAAUAUCAGAUUCUCCACAUGGUUUAUAUAUGAUAUAUAUUAUAUUAAUAACUUUUAGAUGUUAUGUGAUAUAUAUUAUAUUAAUAACUUUUUUUCAGGAAUUCAAAAUGAAGCCUAAACUGAGCAUAUACAACACCAGCCACCUAGAUAGCAGAAAUAAGAGACACUAUGAUGGAACAUCUAGUAGAAAAUAAAUCAAUAUCAGAUUCUCCACAUGGAAUUCAAAAUGAAGCCUAAACUGAGCAUAUACAACACCAGCCACCUAGAUAGCAGAAAUAAGAGACACUAUGAUGGAACAUCUUGUAGAAAAUAAAUCAAUAUCAGAUUCUCCACAUGGUUUUAUUCGGAAUAAAAACUAGUGUGUUUCAAAAAAUGUCUACAAUCAAAAGGGGAAAACAAUUGCAUUGAAAUGUUUACCAAGUUUUACAACUUUACUUUUACAACUGCGACUGUCAAAGAACUAAAUUCUUUGACAAUCAUUUUUUUGACAAUUUUUUUUAGAGUUGUUGUUGAAAAAAACAUCUUUUAUAAUGAUUUAAAAACAAUUGAAAGUUUUGAAAUGCAAUUUGUUCAUGAUUUUUAUCAGUCAAGAAACUAAUUUGCUAUGU
Molecule: long non-coding RNA, 623 nt
Organism: Hydra vulgaris (swiftwater hydra)
Lineage: Eukaryota; Metazoa; Cnidaria; Hydrozoa; Anthoathecata; Hydridae
Source: RefSeq, a predicted model, not a curated record